RNAcentral lists this transfer RNA (73 nucleotides) under Anaerolineae bacterium. Its description in RNAcentral is "tRNA-Gln". It matches the Rfam family "tRNA". From Rfam's summary of the family: Transfer RNA (tRNA) molecules are approximately 80 nucleotides in length. Their secondary structure includes four short double-helical elements and three loops (D, anti-codon, and T loops). Further hydrogen bonds mediate the characteristic L-shaped molecular structure. tRNAs have two regions of fundamental functional importance: the anti-codon, which is responsible for specific mRNA codon recognition, and the 3' end, to which the tRNAs corresponding amino acid is attached (by aminoacyl-tRNA synthetases). tRNAs cope with the degeneracy of the genetic code in two manners: having more than one tRNA (with a specific anti-codon) for a particular amino acid; and 'wobble' base-pairing, i.e. permitting non-standard base-pairing at the 3rd anti-codon position. Lineage: Bacteria; Bacillati; Chloroflexota; Anaerolineae. The record is from RNAcentral. RNAcentral also lists the same sequence under 1 other name.
UGGGGCGUCGCCAAGUGGUUAAGGCAUCGGGCUUUGAACCCGACAUUCGCACGUUCGAAUCGUGCCGCCCCAG